RNAcentral lists this transfer RNA (105 nucleotides) under Orbilia oligospora ATCC 24927. RNAcentral's name for it is "Arthrobotrys oligospora ATCC 24927 tRNA". It matches the Rfam family "tRNA". From Rfam's summary of the family: Transfer RNA (tRNA) molecules are approximately 80 nucleotides in length. Their secondary structure includes four short double-helical elements and three loops (D, anti-codon, and T loops). Further hydrogen bonds mediate the characteristic L-shaped molecular structure. tRNAs have two regions of fundamental functional importance: the anti-codon, which is responsible for specific mRNA codon recognition, and the 3' end, to which the tRNAs corresponding amino acid is attached (by aminoacyl-tRNA synthetases). tRNAs cope with the degeneracy of the genetic code in two manners: having more than one tRNA (with a specific anti-codon) for a particular amino acid; and 'wobble' base-pairing, i.e. permitting non-standard base-pairing at the 3rd anti-codon position. The record is from Rfam by way of RNAcentral. Lineage: Eukaryota; Fungi; Ascomycota; Orbiliomycetes; Orbiliales; Orbiliaceae.
UCUCAGAUGGUCCAGUGGUCAAGAUUUCCGCCUGUCAAUAUUUGUAUUAUGGUACAAAAACCUAUUUGCUCGCGGACGACCGGGGUUCGAUUCCCCGUCUGAGAG